Molecule: ribosomal RNA, 506 nt
Filed under: uncultured bacterium
Lineage: Bacteria
Description: partial 16S ribosomal RNA
Rfam family: Bacterial small subunit ribosomal RNA
Source: RNAcentral
GAUGAACGCUAGCUACAGGCUUAACACAUGCAAGUCGAGGGGUAACGAGAGGAAAGCUUGCUUUCCUUGUCGACGACCGGCGCACGGGUGAGUAACGCGUAUCCAACCUGCCUAUAACUAGGGAAUAACCUUGCGAAAGUAAGACUAAUACCCUAUGAUUUCCUUUGAUGACAUCAGAUUAGGAAUAAAGAUUUAUCGGUUAUAGAUGGGGAUGCGUCUGAUUAGCUUGUUGGCGGGGUAACGGCCCACCAAGGCAACGAUCAGUAGGGGUUCUGAGAGGAAGGUCCCCCACAUUGGAACUGAGACACGGUCCAAACUCCUACGGGAGGCAGCAGUGAGGAAUAUUGGUCAAUGGGCGGAAGCCUGAACCAGCCAAGUAGCGUGCAGGAUGACGGCCCUAUGGGUUGUAAACUGCUUUUAUACAGGAAUAAAGUUAGCCACGUGUGGUUAUUUGUAGGUACUGUAUGAAUAAGGACCGGCUAAUUCCGUGCCAGCAGCCGCCGUAA